GACUCUCGGCAACGGAUAUCUCGGCUCUCGCAUCGAUGAAGAACGUAGCGAAAUGCGAUACUUGGUGUGAAUUGCAGAAUCCCGKGAAUCAUCGAGUCUUUGAACGCAAGUUGCGCCCGAAGCCUUUCGGCCGAGGGCACGUCUGCCUGGGUGUCACGC
Molecule: ribosomal RNA, 159 nt
Filed under: Viola occulta
Lineage: Eukaryota; Viridiplantae; Streptophyta; Magnoliopsida; Malpighiales; Violaceae
Description: 5.8S ribosomal RNA
Rfam family: 5.8S ribosomal RNA
About the family: 5.8S ribosomal RNA (5.8S rRNA) is a component of the large subunit of the eukaryotic ribosome.
Source: RNAcentral